CCCCGGAAAAGGGACAGUCGGUCACUCCCUCCCCUGUGAAAUACCUAUACGUUGCCUCGGCGGAUCAGCCCGCGCCCCGUAAAAAGGGACGGCCCGCCCGAGGACCCCUAAACUCUGUUUUUAGUGGAACUUCUGAGUAAAACAAACAAAUAAAUCAAAACUUUCAACAACGGAUCUCUUGGUUCUGGCAUCGAUGAAGAACGCAACAAAAUGCGAUAAGUAAUGUGAAUUGCAGAAUUCAGUGAAUCAUCGAAUCUUUGAACGCACAUUGCGCCCGCCAGUAUUCUGGCGGGCAUGCCUGUUCGAGCGUCAUUUCAACCCUCAAGCUCAGCUUGGUGUUGGGACUCGCGGUAACCCGCGUUCCCCAAAUCGAUUGGCGGUCACGUCGAGCUUCCAUAGCGUAGUAAUCAUACACCUCGUUACUGGUAAUCGUCGCGGCCACGCCGUAAAACCCCAACUUCUGAAUGUUGACCUCGGAUCAGGUAGGAAUACCCGCUGAACUUAGGCAUAUCAAUAGCAGGAGG
RNAcentral lists this ribosomal RNA (524 nucleotides) under Macrophomina phaseolina. RNAcentral describes it as "eukaryotic LSU rRNA". The stretch from base 159 to 312 matches the Rfam family "5.8S ribosomal RNA". The record is from RNAcentral. Lineage: Eukaryota; Fungi; Ascomycota; Dothideomycetes; Botryosphaeriales; Botryosphaeriaceae.